RNAcentral lists this small nuclear RNA (24 nucleotides) under Arabidopsis thaliana (thale cress). RNAcentral's name for it is "snRNA_10001". Lineage: Eukaryota; Viridiplantae; Streptophyta; Magnoliopsida; Brassicales; Brassicaceae. The record is from RNAcentral.
UUUGCUUUUUGUGAGAUAGAGGAU